GACGUGAGCUGACCCGCAAAGGCCUCGACGCUGGAGCCGACACGAUCGUCUGGCAUCUCGCACAUCACCAUCGGAUCACGGUCUCACGGGCGACCGUGUAUCGGAUCAUCAAACGCGCUGAUCUCGUCACACCAGCACCCAAGAAGAAGCCGAAGUCGUCCUACAUCCGCUUCGUCGCCGAGCAACCCAACGAAACCUGGCAGUCCGACUUCACCCACUGGCGCCUCGCCAACGGCAACGACGUCGAGAUCUUGUGCUGGCUCGAUGACCACUCCCGCUACGCCCUGUCGAUCACUGCCCACCAACCCGUCACCGGACCAAUCGUGGUGGCCGCCUUCCUGGCCGCCGUCGAACGAUAUGGGACACCGUUCUCAACCUUGACCGACAACGGUUUGGUGUACACCGCCCGCUUCGCCAGAGGCGGCCACACCUCCCGCAACAGCUUCGAAACCCAACUCGUCCGACUCCGCGUCCGACAGAAGAACUCACGCCCCAACCACCCCACCACCUGCGGCAAAGUCGAACGACUCCACGACACCCUCAAACGCUGGCUACGCGCACAACCCGCAGCCACCACAAUCACCGAGCUCCAACACCAGCUCGACGACUUCGCCGACGAAUACAACCAUCGCCGGCCACACCGCUCACUCCCACACCGCUCAACCCCCGCCGUCGCCUACACCACCCGCCCCAAAGCCGCACCCGAUCACCACCCCGACAGCGAGUUCCGAGUCCGCUACGACCGCGUCGACAAAGCCGGCAAAGUCACCCUCCGACACAACAGCCAACUCCACCACAUCGGCAUCGGACGCCCCCUCGCCGGCACCCCGAUCGUGAUGCUCAUCCACGACCUCAACAUCCGCAUCAUCCACGCCGCCACCGGCGAAAUCAUCCG
RNAcentral lists this unclassified non-coding RNA (895 nucleotides) under uncultured fungus. Its description in RNAcentral is "sequence contains 18S rRNA gene, ITS1, 5.8S rRNA gene, ITS2, 28S rRNA gene". The record is from RNAcentral. Lineage: Eukaryota; Fungi.